UUAUAAAAAUUGAAAAGAGUAAAGGAGA
Molecule: small RNA, 28 nt
Filed under: Bombyx mori (domestic silkworm)
Lineage: Eukaryota; Metazoa; Arthropoda; Insecta; Lepidoptera; Bombycidae
Description: ovarian small RNA-36773
Source: RNAcentral